UACGGAGGGUGCGAGCGUUGUCCGGAAUCAUUGGGCGUAAAGGGCGCGUAGGUGGUUUGAUAAGGGUGUGGUGAAAGUCCGGGGCUCAACCCCGGAUCUGCCGUGCCGACUGUCAAACUCGAGGGCUGUAGAGGCAGACGGAAUUCCGGGUGUAGCGGUGGAAUGCGUAGAGAUCCGGAGGAAGACCGGUGGCGAAGGCGGUCUGCUGGGCAGUUUCUGACACUGAUGCGCGACAGCGUGGGGAGCAAACAGG
RNAcentral lists this ribosomal RNA (253 nucleotides) under uncultured bacterium. RNAcentral's name for it is "partial 16S ribosomal RNA". It matches the Rfam family "Bacterial small subunit ribosomal RNA", at positions 524 to 776 of the family's 1533-position model. The record is from RNAcentral.